GAUGAACGCUAGCUACAGGCUUAACACAUGCAAGUCGAGGGGUAACAUUAAGUUAGCUUGCUAACUUAGAUGACGACCGGCGCACGGGUGAGUAACGCGUAUCCAACCUGCCCCAUACCAGGGAAUAGCCUUUCGAAAGAAAGAGUAAUGCCCUAUGUUAUCCCAUGCAGACAUCCAAAUGGGAUCAAAGAUUCAUCGGUACGGGAUGGGGAUGCGUCUGAUUAGGUUGUUGGCGGGGUAACGGCCCACCAAACCGACGAUCAGUAGGGGUUCUGAGAGGAAGGUCCCCCACAUUGGAACUGAGACACGGUCCAAACUCCUACGGGAGGCAGCAGUGAGGAAUAUUGGUCAAUGGCCGAGAGGCUGAACCAGCCAAGUAGCGUGAGGGAUGACGGCCCUAUGGGUUGUAAACCUCUUUUAUACGGGGAUAAAGUGAGCCACGUGUGGUUCAUUGCAGGUACCGUACGAAUAAGGACCGGCUAAUUCCGUGC
This 491-nucleotide ribosomal RNA is filed under the name uncultured bacterium. RNAcentral's name for it is "bacterial SSU rRNA". It matches the Rfam family "Bacterial small subunit ribosomal RNA", at positions 28 to 508 of the family's 1533-position model. The record is from RNAcentral.